This 253-nucleotide ribosomal RNA is filed under the name uncultured bacterium. RNAcentral describes it as "partial 16S ribosomal RNA". It matches the Rfam family "Bacterial small subunit ribosomal RNA", at positions 524 to 776 of the family's 1533-position model. The record is from RNAcentral.
UACAUAGGGUGCAAGCGUUGUCCGGAAUUAUUGGGCGUAAAGAGCUCGUAGGCUGUCUGUUGCGUCCGCUGUGAAAACUCGGGGCUUAACUCCGGGCCUGCAGUGGGUACGGGCAGACUAGAGUGCGGUAGGGGAGACUGGAAUUCCUGGUGUAGCGGUGAAAUGCGCAGAUAUCAGGAGGAACACCGGUGGCGAAGGCGGGUCUCUGGGCCGUAACUGACGCUGAGGAGCGAAAGCGUGGGGAGCGAACAGG